GCAGUGGCAAUCAAUAUGGUGGUGCUCCAAGCUUCCAUACCAGGUAUGGCAUCGAUUCCUAUUCUCUAAUUCCUUUUCAGUGUCAUCCAUACCUGAUGAACUUUCACUUGCAUCAUUCAUAACAGCAGUAGCAACAACCAGACCAGUGGCGCUGCAAGUUUACCUGCCAGGUUAGUAUAACUUCCUUGUUUCCAGCUUAUAUACCACUGCUGAUAAUUAAUCAAUUAUCAUCUGGCAUAACAGUGGCGGCUCUGGUGAAGGUCUCAGCUUCCAUGAUAGGUACUGUAUCCCUAAAAUAUGCUUGUACCUUAUAAGUCAUAACAUCAUGUCACUCCACAGAGAGGCACAUGGUCACCUACUUUGCCGUUCACCUGUGCCCAUGCUAUGCCGUGUGCUUCACAUUUAUGAAACAAACAGAAACAUCCGAUUGCAUUGUUAGCUACCAAUAUUUGCUCUUAGAUCAUACUCCCUCUGUUCGGAAUUACUUGUCUCGGAAAUGGAUGUAUUUAGAACUAAAAUAUGUCUAGAUACAUCCAUUUCUGCGACAAUUAAUUUCGAAUGGAGGGAGUAUGUGGCGAUUGGAUGGAUUGCCUAGUUGAAUUAUCUGAUGUAUGCAUUUAUACCUCUUUAAUAUGCAUCUCACUUGAUAGAGGCACAUGUCACCAACUUUGGAGUUCACCUAUGCCCACACAUACCGCGUCCUUGAAAUUCAUGAAAUAUAGAAGAAAAUGUCUGAUUGUAUUGGUGAAACUUUUGGUGUAGCUGAAUCAAACUGUAUUUUAUGGUUGACAAAUUGAGUUAACUGCCACUUCACUUCAUCCUGCUGACAACUUUAUUUCAUCAUAUCAAGUUUAUCGCGGGUGUGAUGUAUCUACAAAGGCUAUAUAUAAUUUAAUGACCCGCUUUGUUCGAUUGGCAGGUUCUAUAGCGGCAAUUCCCGUGGUGGUGACCGUGCUAGGAGCAGGAGCCCUCCCAAGGCCGUGGGGGUCUCCAACUGGUAAAAUGCAUCACGAUGGUGAUGAAACAACGGAGUAGAUGGAGUUGGUUCCCUAACCAAAUCGUAGUAUCAGUCAUGUUGGUUUAAGCAAAGCGUGUCCUGGAACUUUGCUGACAUAGGUUAAGCGUGUCGGAUAUUUUGCUAUGUUGAUGUGGUGGUGCCUCGGAGGCGCUUUAUACGGUGUCCGUAUGCUGGCGUUAGUACUCUAUGAAACCUGGAACCUCGGACCUCUUUAUGCCUGGUAGUCGUGUUAUAAUCCUUAGGAAACCGGACCGGUUGAGCCAUGAAUUUUGGACGGAACCAUGUAAGUUAUGUUGGCUGUUGUAAAUGCUCUCGGCAUGGCUUGAUGUUGAACUGAAAUGCCCGACGUGAACUGCUGAACUAUCCUGCACAUGUGUGCCUUGCUUGUGCUCUAGCAUGUUU
This 1420-nucleotide long non-coding RNA is filed under the name Triticum aestivum (bread wheat). RNAcentral's name for it is "long non-coding RNA (TAES_LNC025297)". The stretch from base 460 to 574 matches the Rfam family "MIR1120/MIR1122 microRNA precursor family". Lineage: Eukaryota; Viridiplantae; Streptophyta; Magnoliopsida; Poales; Poaceae. The record is from RNAcentral.